CUCCCAAGGAGAAAGGUUCUCUACCUGGAGAUUACUUCUCUUGGAGCCCUUCUGUGAGCCCAGGAUACAGGUGUCCGCGGGUUGGCAUAAACCCACUCCCUAAUCCUGUCUCUUUUAAGCCAAGUACAGCCAUAUCCAAAGCAGGUUCCCAAUCCUUUAGGUUGCAAUUCGUCUUAUUGCAGAUAGACGUUGGAAAGUAGGUCAUAUUAACCCAAAUGUGGACAAAUGGAUCCUACCCUAAGUGACAACUUCUGUCGUGUGCAAUUCGCCCCUUCCUGUCACAAACAGAGUUUCGGGGGGUGGUUCAGAGCUGAGCUGCAGGAAGAUGGGAGGCAAAGCUGACUUGAUUAAGACCGUGUUUUGGAACCUUUCUGCAUCUUGUUUAAAUUGAUUUUCUUCUGCUUCUAUUCUAAAAGUGGAAGGG
Long non-coding RNA from Gallus gallus (chicken), 424 nucleotides. Lineage: Eukaryota; Metazoa; Chordata; Aves; Galliformes; Phasianidae. The record is from Ensembl.